UGCAGAAUGCCGUGAACCAUCGAGUCUUUGAACGCAAGUUACGCCCCAAGCCAUUUGGCCGAGGCACGUCUACCUGGGUGUC
This 82-nucleotide ribosomal RNA is filed under the name Aesculus chinensis. RNAcentral's name for it is "partial 5.8S ribosomal RNA". The record is from RNAcentral. Lineage: Eukaryota; Viridiplantae; Streptophyta; Magnoliopsida; Sapindales; Sapindaceae.